CCCUUGAGGCGUGGCUUCGGGAGUUAAGGCGUAAAUUGGCCCCCCUGGGGAGUACGGCCGCAAGGUUAAAAUUAAAAGAAAUUGAGGGGGGCCCGCCCAAGCGGUGGGGCAUGUGGUUUAUUUGGAGGCAACGGGAAGACCCUUACCUACUCUUGACAUCCGGGGAAUUUCCCAGGGAUGAUUUGGUCCCUUGGGGAAUUUUGAGACAGGGGUGGCAUGGCGGUGGUCAGUUGGUUUUGUGAAAUGUUGGGUUAAUUCCCGCAAGGGGGGCAACCCUUACCCUUUGUUGCCAGCGGUUAGGCCGGGAACUCAAAGGAGACUGCCAGUGAUAAACUGGAGGAAGGUGGGGAUGACGUCAAGUCAUCAUGGCCCUUACGACUAGGGCUACACACGUGCUACAAUGGUGCAUACAAAGGGAAGCGACGUCGCGAGAGCAAGCGGACCUCAUAAAGUGCGUCGUAGUCCGGAUUGGAGUCUGCAACUCGACUCCAUGAAGUCGGAAUCGCUAGUAAUCGUGGAUCAGAAUGCCACGGUGAAUACGUUCCCGGGCCUUGUACACACCGCCCGUCACACCAUGGGAGUGGGUUGCACACAGAAGUAGCUAGUCUUAACCUUCGGGAGGGCGGUUACCCA
This 633-nucleotide ribosomal RNA is filed under the name Enterobacter cloacae. Its description in RNAcentral is "bacterial SSU rRNA". It matches the Rfam family "Bacterial small subunit ribosomal RNA", at positions 829 to 1460 of the family's 1533-position model. Lineage: Bacteria; Pseudomonadati; Pseudomonadota; Gammaproteobacteria; Enterobacterales; Enterobacteriaceae. The record is from RNAcentral.